RNAcentral lists this ribosomal RNA (403 nucleotides) under Fusobacteriota bacterium. Its description in RNAcentral is "Fusobacteria bacterium partial 16S ribosomal RNA". It matches the Rfam family "Bacterial small subunit ribosomal RNA", at positions 355 to 776 of the family's 1533-position model. The record is from RNAcentral. Lineage: Bacteria; Fusobacteriati; Fusobacteriota.
UGGGGAAUAUUGCACAAUGGGGGAAACCCUGAUGCAGCGACGCCGCGUGAGCGAAGAAGGUUUUCGAAUCGUAAAGCUCUGUCCUAUGGGAAGAUAAUGACGGUACCAUAGGAGGAAGCCCCGGCUAACUACGUGCCAGCAGCCGCGGUAAUACGUAGGGGGCAAGCGUUGUCCGGAAUCACUGGGCGUAAAGGGUUCGCAGGCGGAAAUGCAAGUCAGUUUUGAAAGGCAGAGGCUCAACCUCUGUAAGCAAUUGAAACUGUAUUUCUUGAGAUGUGGAGAGGCAAGUGGAAUUCCUAGUGUAGCGGUGAAAUGCGUAGAUAUUAGGAAGAAUACCGGUGGCGAAGGCGACUUGCUGGACACAAACUGACGCUGAGGAACGAAAGCGUGGGUAGCAAACAGG